GGAAUACCUUUAAAGUUAUUAAGUUUUUUAAUAGCGUUGAUAAUUAGCUCGCUAACAUAGCCGUGUUUUGUGAGGUUACUAACCGUAAGUUAACAGCUGUGAAAGGUGGAUUUGUGGACUGUCUGAGAAUAAACACUGUGGAGCCCGAGCUACACUGAAACUGGACUCAAGCCCAGGGAGAAAACGGGACUUAAAGACAUGCACAUCAGGAGUUUGACACUGAACCGGAGUAUAAGUGGAGUCCUCUGUGAUGGAAGACGUCCAGUCCUGCAGGAGAUCACAUGAAGUGGUUCUGAUUACGUUUCCACAGUGAAAGGGGGCCUUCUUGAGCUACAGGUCCCUGGCUGGGCGGGGCUGACCUACUUCUAGUUUCUGCUGCCACCUCAACUCACCUGCAGCUCAUUCAGCAAUCAGCAUUUAAGAGCAAUUAAGAGUUUGCUGUUGCCU
This is a long non-coding RNA of Centropristis striata (black sea bass), 447 nucleotides long. RefSeq lists it as uncharacterized. Lineage: Eukaryota; Metazoa; Chordata; Actinopteri; Perciformes; Serranidae. The record is from RefSeq and is a predicted model, not a curated record. The transcript has 3 exons.